UACGGAGGGGGCGAGCGUUAUUCGGAAUUAUUGGGCGUAAAGGGCGCGUAGGCGGCUGUACAAGUCAAAGGUGAAAUCCCUCGGCUCAACUGAGGAACUGCCUUUGAAACUGUACGGCUUGAGGCCGGGAGGGGGUAGCGGAAUUCCCAGUGUAGCGGUGAAAUGCGCAGAUAUCAGGAAGAACACCCGUGGCGAAGGCGGCUCUCUGGGACGGUACUGACGCUGAGACGCGAAAGCGUGGGGAGCGAACAGG
Molecule: ribosomal RNA, 253 nt
Filed under: uncultured bacterium
Lineage: Bacteria
Description: partial 16S ribosomal RNA
Rfam family: Bacterial small subunit ribosomal RNA
Source: RNAcentral